UCUGACGGAGCACGCCGCGUGAGUGAUGAAGGUUUUCGGAUCGUAAAACUCUGUUGUUAGGGAAGAACAAGUGCGAGAGUAACUGCUCGCACCUUGACGGUACCUAACCAGAAAGCCACGGCUAACUACGUGCCAGCAGCCGCGGUAAUACGUAGGUGGCAAGCGUUGUCCGGAAUUAUUGGGCGUAAAGCGCGCGCAGGCGGUUUCUUAAGUCUGAUGUGAAAGCCCCCGGCUCAACCGGGGAGGGUCAUUGGAAACUGGGGAACUUGAGUGCAGAAGAGGAGAGUGGAAUUCCACGUGUAGCGGUGAAAUGCGUAGAGAUGUGGAGGAACACCAGUGGCGAAGGCGACUCUCUGGUCUGUAACUGACGCUGAGGCGCGAAAGCGUGGGGAGCAAACAGGAUUAGAUACCCUGGUAGUCCACGCCGUAAACGAUGAGUGCUAAGUGUUAGAGGGUUUCCGCCCUUUAGUGCUGCAGCUAACGCAUUAAGCACUCCGCCUGGGGAGUACGGUCGCAAGACUGAAACUCAAAGGAAUUGACGGGGGCCCGCACAAGCGGUGGAGCAUGUGGUUUAAUUCGAAGCAACGCGAAGAACCUUACCAGGUCUUGACAUCCUUUGCCACUUCUAGAGAUAGAAGGUUCCCCUUCGGGGGACAAAGUGACAGGUGGUGCAUGGUUGUCGUCAGCUCGUGUCGUGAGAUGUUGGGUUAAGUCCCGCAACGAGCGCAACCUCUUGAUCUUAGUUGCCAGCAUUCAGUUGGGCACUCUAAGGUGACUGCCGGUGACAAACCGGAGGAAGGUGGGGAUGACGUCAAAUCAUCAUGCCCCUUAUGACCUGGGCUACACACGUGCUACAAUGGAUGGUACAAAGGGCUGCGAAACCGCGAGGUUUAGCCA
RNAcentral lists this ribosomal RNA (897 nucleotides) under Bacillus sp. h50-6-u341f. Its description in RNAcentral is "bacterial SSU rRNA". It matches the Rfam family "Bacterial small subunit ribosomal RNA", at positions 382 to 1270 of the family's 1533-position model. Lineage: Bacteria; Bacillati; Bacillota; Bacilli; Caryophanales; Bacillaceae. The record is from RNAcentral.